This 1067-nucleotide long non-coding RNA is filed under the name Homo sapiens (human). RNAcentral describes it as "non-protein coding LINC01592:2". The record is from RNAcentral. Lineage: Eukaryota; Metazoa; Chordata; Mammalia; Primates; Hominidae.
CUGAAAUGCUAUACAGACUCCAGUGAGAAAAAACUGAGAUCACAUAGCUUUGCUUCCAUACCUAAAUUACUACAAAUUUGUGUCCGCUUGAAUGUUAUGUAAUUUAACCAGAAAUUGAAGAAAUACCACCAUUUUAAAGAAAAUAUGGUCAUAAACACUAUGGAAUACUAUGCAACCAUAACAAGAAUGAAAUCAUGUCCUUUGCAGCAACAUGGAUGUAGCUGGAGGCCAUUAUCCUGGGCAAAUUUGCAGGAGCAGAAAACCAGAUACCACAUCUCACAUUGAAAAAGGGAGGCAGAGGAUACAGAGAAGUAGAUGUGACUAUGGAAGCAGAGAUCAGAGUGAUGAAACUGCUAGCUGGAGCCACGUGCCAAGGAAUGGAAGCAGCCCCUAGAAGCUGGAAAAGGUGAAGAAAUGCAGUCUCCCAAAGAGCUUCCAGAAGGAAUCCAUGCCUGCCAAUGCAUUGAUUUUGGUCUCAUGAAACGUAUUUAAGACAUAUGAUCUCUAGAGUUCUGAUAAACUUGUAUUGGUUUAAGCCACUAUGUUUGUGGUCAUUUGUUACAGCAGCAAAAGGAAAUUAAUACAUUAGUGUUGUAUAAUUUUAAUAUAUAAUUUCUGUAAAUGUUUUGUUAGAUUUAUACCUACAUUUUUAUUUUUGAGGGAUUAUAAUUGUAUUUUAAGUGUUGGGGUUCAUGUGUUUAUUGCAAAUAUGUAGAAUUAAAAUUAAUUUUUGCAUAUUUUUUGUCCUAUGACCUUGCUGAUUAGUUAUUAGUUGUUAGUUUGUACAAGAUUUUUGUAGAUUCAUUGGAAUUUUCUAUGUAGAAGACAAUUGUGCCUUCCGCAAAUGGGAUGAUUUUAUAUAUUACAUCCUGAUCUGUAGUCUUUCAGCUUUCUUUAUCUUGCCCUAUUGUACUUACCAGAACUUCCAGCACUAAGUUGACUAAAAGUGGUGAGAAUUAACAUCCUGUUUCUGUACCUGAUCUUGAGGAGAAAGUAUCAAUUCUCCCCAGUCAGUAUAAUGUUAGUUGCAGCUUUUCAGCUGAUGCUUUGUAUCAAGGUGAGAAAAU